This is a long non-coding RNA of Suricata suricatta (meerkat), 216 nucleotides long. RefSeq lists it as uncharacterized. Lineage: Eukaryota; Metazoa; Chordata; Mammalia; Carnivora; Herpestidae. The record is from RefSeq and is a predicted model, not a curated record. The transcript is spliced from 3 exons.
ACAUCUUUGCCAAGACCCGUCCUCUUUGCCAGCGGAGGUGACACCUUCCCAGAACACCACUAGGAGGGAAGAGGAGGAUCAGAAUCAGACUUUGCUGUGCCCUGGGGACGCCCUACUUGAAGCAGAUGCCAGCUUCCUCUCCUGCCAUGUGCCUUGGGCCAGGAAGAAGAAGACCUGAAGCAAGAGGAAGCAAGUGAUAGAUAGUCAAGGGACUGA